Molecule: unclassified non-coding RNA, 354 nt
Filed under: soil metagenome
Description: partial contains 5.8S ribosomal RNA, internal transcribed spacer 2, and large subunit ribosomal RNA
Rfam family: 5.8S ribosomal RNA (bases 1-120)
Source: RNAcentral
GAUGAAGAACGUAGCGAAAUGCGAUAAGUAAUGUGAAUUGCAGAAUUCCGUGAAUCAUCGAAUCUUUGAACGCACAUUGCGCCCCCUGGCAUUCCGGGGGGCAUGCCUGUCCGAGCGUCAUUUCUGCCCUCCAGCCCGGCUGGGUGUUGGGCGCUGUCCCCCCGGGGACACGCCCCAAAGGCAGUGGCGGCGCCGCGUCGGGUCCUCGAGCGUAUGGGGCUUUGUCAUCCGCUCGGGACGGACUCGUCGGCGCUGGUCUUCCUCCAGGCGACCCUUCGGGGCUCGUCUUCCUUCGGUUGACCUCGGAUCAGGUAGGGUUACCCGCUGAACUUAAGCAUAUCAAUAAGCGGAGGA